Molecule: ribosomal RNA, 241 nt
Filed under: uncultured bacterium
Lineage: Bacteria
Description: partial 16S ribosomal RNA
Rfam family: Bacterial small subunit ribosomal RNA
Source: RNAcentral
UUCGAGUGGCGAACGGGUGAGUAACACGUGGGUGAUCUGCCCUGCACUUCGGGAUAAGCUUGGGAAACUGGGUCUAAUACCGGAUAGGAGCCAUCUUUAGUGUGGUGGUUGGAAAGUUUUUUCGGUGUAGGAUGAGCUCGCGGCCUAUCAGCUUGUUGGUGGGGUAAUGGCCUACCAAGGCGGCGACGGGUAGCCGGCCUGAGAGGGUGUACGGCCACAUUGGGACUGAGAUACGGCCCAG